This 642-nucleotide ribosomal RNA is filed under the name uncultured bacterium. RNAcentral's name for it is "bacterial SSU rRNA". The stretch from base 1 to 538 matches the Rfam family "Bacterial small subunit ribosomal RNA", at positions 338 to 873 of the family's 1533-position model. The record is from RNAcentral.
CCUACGGGAGGCAGCAGUAGGGAAUAUUGGUCAAUGGACGAAAGUCUGAACCAGCCAUCCCGCGUGCAGGACGACGGCCCUAUGGGUUGUAAACUGCUUUUAUACAGGAAGAAUAAGCCUUACGUGUAAGGUGAUGACGGUACUGUAAGAAUAAGGAUCGGCUAACUCCGUGCCAGCAGCCGCGGUAAUACGGAGGAUCCAAGCGUUGUCCGGAUUUAUUGGGUUUAAAGGGUGCGUAGGCGGUUUGUUAAGUCAGUGGUGAAAGUUUGCGGCUUAACCGUAAAAUUGCCAUUGAAACUGACAGACUUGAAUUUGGUUGAGGUUGCCGGAAUGUGUCAUGUAGCGGUGAAAUGCUUAGAUAUGAUACAGAACACCAAUUGCGAAGGCAGGUAACUAAACCAAUAUUGACGCUGAGGCACGAAAGCGUGGGGAUCAAACAGGAUUAGAUACCCUGGUAGUCCACGCCCUAAACGUUGAUUACUCGUUGUUGGCGAUACACUGUCAGCGACUAAGACGAAACGACGUUAAGUUAACUACCUACCGUACGGGGAGGUACGGUACCGGCCGAACGGUUAGUAAACGUACGAAAGGAAAGUUAGUACGGCGUGAGACGUGCCGAACGGACGACGACGAGGGAGUAGG